GAUGAAGAACGCAGUGAAAUGCGAUACGUAAUGUGAAUUGCAGAAUUCAGUGAAUCAUCGAGUCUUUGAACGCACAUUGCGCCUUCUAGUAUUCUGGAGGCAUGCCUGUUUGAGCGUCAUUAAACCUCUCUCAAGUAUGAUUACUUGGAUGUGAAGGAAGAGUACCUUAAACUUAAGGAGUGUUCUCCUUUGAAAUUGAUUAGCAGAUGGUAAUGUUAUUAAAUCCUUGAUGUUGUAAGAAAUAACAGUGGUUUUGUAGACUAUUAUCUAGCUUUAAAUUAUAAUUUUUAUUAUGGUUGACCUCAAAUCAGGUAAGGAUACCCGCUGAACUUAAGCAUAUCAAUAAGCGGAGGA
Molecule: unclassified non-coding RNA, 354 nt
Filed under: soil metagenome
Description: partial contains 5.8S ribosomal RNA, internal transcribed spacer 2, and large subunit ribosomal RNA
Rfam family: 5.8S ribosomal RNA (bases 1-119)
Source: RNAcentral